RNAcentral lists this ribosomal RNA (345 nucleotides) under uncultured bacterium. RNAcentral's name for it is "bacterial SSU rRNA". It matches the Rfam family "Bacterial small subunit ribosomal RNA", at positions 164 to 507 of the family's 1533-position model. The record is from RNAcentral.
UAAUACCGCAUACGCUACGGNGAAANCGGGGGAUCUUCGGACCUCGCGCCAUUAGAUGAGCCUAGGUCGGAUUAGCUAGUUGGUGAGGUAAUGGCUCACCAAGGCGACGAUCCGUAACUGGUCUGAGAGGAUGAUCAGUCACACUGGAACUGAGACACGGUCCAGACUCCUACGGGAGGCAGCAGUGGGGAAUAUUGGACAAUGGGCGAAAGCCUGAUCCAGCCAUGCCGCGUGUGUGAAGAAGGUCUUCGGAUUGUAAAGCACUUUAAGUUGGGAGGAAGGGUAGUAACCUAAUACGUUGCUACUUUGACGUUACCGACAGAAUAAGCACCGGCUAACUUCGUG